AAUGAACGUUGGCGGCGUGGAUUAGGCAUGCAAGUCGAGCGGGAAAGUCCCCUUCGGGGGGCGAGUAUAGCGGCGAAUGGGUGAGUAACACGUAGGUAACCUGCCCUGGAGAUCGGGAUAACCCAUCGAAAGACGGGCUAAUACCGGAUGAGACCACGGGGUCUUCGGACCUUGGGGGAAAAGGUGGCCUCUGCUUGCAAGCUACCACUUCAGGAUGGGCCUGCGAGCCAUUAGCUAGUUGGUGAGGUAACGGCUCACCAAGGCAAAGAUGGCUAGCUGGUCUUAGAGGAUGGCCAGCCACACUGGGACUGAGACACGGCCCAGACUCCUACGGGAGGCUG
RNAcentral lists this ribosomal RNA (341 nucleotides) under uncultured Pseudomonadota bacterium. RNAcentral's name for it is "bacterial SSU rRNA". It matches the Rfam family "Bacterial small subunit ribosomal RNA", at positions 29 to 351 of the family's 1533-position model. The record is from RNAcentral. Lineage: Bacteria; Pseudomonadati; Pseudomonadota.